Oncorhynchus tshawytscha (Chinook salmon) is the source of this 3093-nucleotide long non-coding RNA. RefSeq lists it as uncharacterized. The record is from RefSeq and is a predicted model, not a curated record. The transcript has 2 exons. NCBI's taxonomy places the organism in Eukaryota, Metazoa, Chordata, Actinopteri, Salmoniformes, Salmonidae.
AGACUAACAGAUAUAGAAGGGAAUCAUUGACAUGCAUCACAGGACUGUAGCUACAAUAUUCAGAACAUACAGAGACAUUACAUUCCUACGUUGAGAGGAGGAUUACUGACUCAUCUUCACAUCCCUGCCUCCGUAAGAGUGAGACAGACUGAAAGACCCUGGGGAAUCAGGCAGAUAUGAGGUCAGCCUGCUUGGGUCCUGAGGAAACUGCCUCAGAGUGGCACCGAGUAGACCCUCAAUGGAUGCCUUUGUCUGAGGAUUCUUUGCCCUUUCUGACCCUCACAGGAAGCCGGGCAGCAGCAGAGAAGUCGGGUGGGUACGGGACGACUGCGGAUAUUGGGACCAACAUUAUGGAAUCCGGGGCAAUGUUCUGGACGAGCUCCUUGUGUUUAGGAAGAGAUGUGACACACACAGCCCAGUCACACUGAGACACCUCCUCGACCGGCUCUGUAAACAUUUCAUCCAAGUGCUGGUGUAGAUAGAUGUUUUAUGUGGUGGGAGGGAUAGUGGACCCACACAGUGGCUCAAACACAAGCAGUGCUAUUCACUUUUAUGAUUAUGGAGUAUUUUAGGUCACCCAGUUUUCAUGUUUUGUUCAGUAUCAGAUACUGUAAAUAAUUUCUGAGAUUCAUGAAAACAACAUUCUAUAACCCAUGUGGAGAUUGUGUUGUGUUAUUUUGUAGUUGGUUGCUGCUAUUGCUUUUUAAACCACUUGCAUUUACUGUCUAAAUACAAAUGGACCUACUUGUAACUUUUGGUACCAAACGGAUGGGGGACCUCCUGUGGGUGUACUGGCUGGUACUGUAGCCUGACUGUACUGUAGCGAGCAUCUGUUGUGUGCGUCAUUCAUGUCUGAGGUUAUUAAGUGUUGUGUUGUCAUUUAACCUGUGAAUCAUGCUAACAUGACAUCGUCAGUCUGGGUGGGGCUAAAGAUGCAUUGAGGAUACUACUCUUACGUUUCUUUACCCACAAAGGUCUGAACUGAUCUGAGAUCUGACGUCAUCAGAUUGUUAACAAUACAUGCAUUAUUACUCCAGGUUCCAGCAGCUGAUCUCAGUGUUCCACAUACAGUAGCUCUUGUUGGCCAUUUUAGCAGCUGCGUCACCAUCCAGAACUCGUUGUUUUUUUACGAAGAGUUAAACUCUCCAACUGCAAUUUGUAAAAUGUUGUCUUUUCUAUUUCUAAAUUUCUAAAAUGAUUCCUUUUGAAAACUAAAUGUACACAUUUUAUUAUAACAUUUAAUUGGAAAGAUAAUCAGUCAAAAAUAAUCUGAACUACAAUGUUUACCAAAGGUUUGCCUAAACAUAUAUUUGAAUCUAUAUGUCUCAUUAUGAACAACUGUAUCAGUGAAUAGUUGGAAACCAUAACACUGGCAGCAUAUUCACACGCCACAAUAUCUCCCCCCAGAGCAUGAAUUAGAAGUCUGAAGGGAAUAGAGAAUCCAUCCAAUGUCAUUAAUCUACAUGCAGUUCCUGUUCGUGAUUUAAGGAAUGUAUGAAUGUACAUACAGCAUCUUCACGACCACAGACGAACAGGGAAGUGGGCCAUGCUAACCAUGCUCACACACUUGAGAUUCAAGAGAUGUUUUGUUCUCUUCAAUACAUCAGUCCUAUUAUAUAUUCUCUACUCCACACUACCUGGUUUGAGAUAAGAAUAUAAGAAUAGGGAGGGGGUGUGUGUAUAUGGAAUAUAAAUGUAGAUUACUCUCCCUGGCUACUCUAUUCAGUAAUCUGUGUCAGGCCGCUUAUGAAUGCGAUGUGUACCGAUUUAAAGAGCACCCCACAGUUUUUGCUCUGCCACUACACGGCUACCACCCCUUUUCAUUGAUGUCUACAUUUCCUUUCUGUUGAGGCUCCAUCAGAAUCCUCUGGUCUUUGGCUUUCACAGUGCAACGCUGUUCCCACUGGGCAAACACUAGUUGAAUCAACGUUGUUGAAAUUAAUUGGCCGUCUGUGGCCGCCUUUUCAUCUGUUCUGGCCAACUCCUCCACACUUUUUACCUUUAUUUAACUAGGCAAGUCAGUUAAGAACAAAUUCUUAUUUUCAAUGACAGCCUAGGAACAGUGGGUUAACUGCCUGUUCAGGGGCAGAACGUCAACUCGGGGAUUUGAACUUGCAACCUUCCGGUUACUAGUCCAACGCUCUAACCACUAGGCUACCCUGCCACCGCCCUUGUACUCUAACACAAGGGUGAAUGUCACUAGGCUAAUCCUGCUUUAUUCAAUUAGGAAGACUGGGAGGGAAGAGGAUGAAAAAAAGGUAUUCAAAAGCCCCUCUGGGAAAGGAAAAGUUGCUACAGAUGAUCAACACAGGAGUUGAUAGCCAAGCAUAGCUAGUUGUGUACGGAAUGAAUGUAGCUCUUGGGAGGAUGGAGAAAAGGUAUGAGAAAUUGUGUUAAAAAAGCAACGUCCAUGGAACCCUGGUCUUUUUUUACUGUGUUGUGGUUCCUUUAAGCAUUAAGGCAUGAGGGGGGCGGUAUAUUGGCCAUAUACCACAAGCCCCCGAGUUACCUUAUUGCUAUUCUAUACAGGUUACAAACGUAAUUAGAGCAGUAAAAAUAAAUGUUUUGUCAUACCCGUGGUAUACGUCUGGUAUACCACUGCUGUCAGCCAAUCAGCAUUCAGGGCUCUAACCACCCAUUUUAUAUUAGCAUAUAGCUCAUGGAAGACUCACUGGUAUACUGUUCAUGGUGCUGCACAUGAUUACGACAACAGGGGAAUCGAUUACUUUGGAGUAAUUUGAGGCUAAAGCAGAUGUGCUGGAGGCUUCUUAUUCUGGAUGUAUCUCCUUGUGUACAUGUGUCCAUAAUACAUUUGGGAAAGGAGAAAACACAUGAGAAAACCACUGUAGAUGAUCACUUGAGAACCAAUUGAUGACCUUUUAUGCUAUUUACUACUGUAUGAGAUACUGUUCCUAAUCACUGAUGCUCCUAACUUGUUCCGGGUCACUUUGUGUAUACUCAGUACACCCUCAAACACAGUAAGAAGGACCACAGCUGCUUUAGAGAGUCAUUCUUGUUUAUAACCCGACAUGCCCUGUAUUACUUGUCCUAUCACUGAUCUAUUUAUGAUUAAAGUAUUUUCUAUUGUCUGCA